Molecule: ribosomal RNA, 810 nt
Filed under: Triticum aestivum (bread wheat)
Lineage: Eukaryota; Viridiplantae; Streptophyta; Magnoliopsida; Poales; Poaceae
Description: partial small subunit ribosomal RNA
Source: RNAcentral
AUGCAUAGGGGGCUGUUGCCCCCCCCCCCACCCCACACACACACACACAAUUUGGAAAGAUUGCCGGCGCUCCCCGGCGGCGCGGAGGAGUACGUGCGCGGCUCCAUCGAGGCCGCCCUCGGCCUCCCCGUGCCGGACCGCUCUAUCCGCGCCAAGCUCGCGGCCUACGAGGACCUGCGCCGCCGCCUCCAGGACCGCGUCUUCGCGCUCGAGGAGGACCUCCACGCCGCCGCCCGCCGCAUCGACCUCCUCAAGAACGAGUCGGCGAUGAACGCGGAGGGGAUCCGGCGCUGCGUGGAGGAGAAGGAGGCCGUGGCGGCCGCGCGCGAUCAGCUCGCCGCCCACGCCGCCAGGCUCGAGAAGGAGUGCGGGCUCUACGAGCGCGACCUCGAGCGCGCCAUGGAGUCCUGCGACGAGCUCGCCAGGGAGAGCGACGACCUGCGCAACCGCCUCCGUGACGCCCCCGACGCGCAGCUUACUGAACAAGUCCAAGCGCUGCAGAGGGACAAGGAGAUACUCAAGACCAACCUGAACAAAGCAGAGGAGGAGGUUAAGUUGCUGUUUGAGGAGAACAGAGCCCUCGACGAAGCAAACAAGAGGCUGCUGUGCUUGCUGGAGAAGGAGCAGAAGCAUCGGUCCGAAAGAAAGCACUCCGCCAGUAAUUCCACCAAGCAGAAACGCAAGUCGUCGAGCCUGAAGGACACGAGCCCGGUCAGCCUGGCCAUCGAUUUCAACAGUGCGGACGCGUCGAGGCAGCCCCUGUUGCCCUUGCAGCCAAACUCUCCGGACUGCAGGGUGCAUAAGAAGUGA